RNAcentral lists this ribosomal RNA (394 nucleotides) under uncultured bacterium. Its description in RNAcentral is "bacterial SSU rRNA". It matches the Rfam family "Bacterial small subunit ribosomal RNA", at positions 99 to 509 of the family's 1533-position model. The record is from RNAcentral.
CGGACUGGUGAGUAACGCGCGAGGAACCUGCCUUCCAGAGGGGGACAACAGUUGGAAACGACUGCUAAUACCGCAUGACGCAUGACCGGGGCAUCCCGGACGUGCCAAAGAUUUAUCGCUGGAAGAUGGCCUCGCGUCUGAUUAGCUAGUAGGCGGGGUAACGGCCCACCUAGGCGACGAUCAGUAGCCGGACUGAGAGGUUGACCGGCCACAUUGGGACUGAGAUACGGCCCAGACUCCUACGGGAGGCAGCAGUGGGGAAUAUUGGGCAAUGGGCGCAAGCCUGACCCAGCAACGCCGCGUGAAGGAAGAAGGCUUUCGGGUUGUAAACUUCUUUUGUCAGGGAACAGUAGAAGAGGGUACCUGACGAAUAAGCUCCGGCUAACUACGUGCC